AGCAAGGUGGCUGGCCGGCAGGCCAAUGGCGGCCAACGCCACUUCCGGCCGCCCUCCGAGCAUCGCUCUUCGGCAACCCGAAGCCACAGGAUGGAGGAGGGGGAUCCCAGCAAAGGUAGCGACUAAGGGGACCCAAGCAGAACGGGAGGGCGACGUCCGGAGCGGCGGCAGAGCCAGGGGACGCUGUGUGAGGCUGGCAAAGCGGUGUUCACCUAGUUCUCUCGGGCUCCGCCGCCGCCGGAGGAGGACAGGAGGCCGGCAAGGCGACCCCCAAAUCUUCCUAGGCUCUGACUUCCGUCUCCUAACCCCCGCAAAUUCCAACCCGGUCUUGGAAAAUCCCGCGAGAACGGGCUCCCGAAUUGUCAUUGGGAUCUCGCGAGAACGAAAUCUUCCUUUCUGUGGGCGGAGCAAUCUUCCCGAUGUCUCUUCCCUCUGAGGCCAGUAGCAGGAAGGGCCUCGGGAGUUGCGAGUGUCGCGAGGUUUGAGGUCGCUCGGUGGGCCGGGCGCUGUGCGAAGCUAGAAAUAACUGGGGGCAUGGAGAAUGCGGUGGCUGUAAAGGGCCGCUGAGGCGGUGGAGGCCUGGCAGAGAGCGUCCCCGCGGUCGCGGCUUCUGGCUUCUCUGUGGAGCUUGGUUCUUCCGUGGUGGUGCAGCACCCCAGGAACUUCAGGAACCAGUCCUUCCUUGGAGAGCUCCCCGGGACAGCCACGGGGGCCAAGUGAAACUAGCGCGUUUUCUUGGAUCCUACACUUUAUAGUGAGUCAUAAAUACUUUAAAUACAAAGCCAACAACAUUUGCUGCAAAUAAACGUAAAAAUACUGUUAAAGUGUAAAGUGUUUUCCUCCGUACCAUCUGACGUUUCUGGCGGUUCGUUGAACGCGAGAGAACGCUGAGCCGUCUGCACUGAGCCCGGGAGCAUCUUCAGGGCAGCGCCGCCCACGCGCGAGGUGAAUGAAGGACACGGCCUCUUGACACUCCCAGGCAGCACAGAUAGACGGAUCCUGGCUAGAAGUGACCCCAGGAUUUUUUUAUUAUCAAGAGAGACUAGAAGAAUCAUGAGACUUUUCCUAGUUGCCUUUCAAGAAUAUGAAGAAAAAAAUGGUUCUCAAAGUGGGUUUGAAUGAGUAUUGUUCCAAUAAAUGAACUUAUAUUCAUAUUUCAUCCCCUGAGUCCUGGUGUUUCAACAUCCAUUAGAACUGAAUAAUCAUACUGCAUAUCAAAGUUUGUGGGAAAUUGCUAAAGUGUAAAAAAUGCUCAUAUUGAAAAAGAAGAAAAGCUGAAAAUUAAUUGUGCUUCCAACUUUAAAAAAGGACAACAAGCUAAUCCUAAAGAAACUAGAAUAAAAGGAAAAAAUAAACAGAAGUUAAAGAGUAAUUUUAAAAAAUACAAUAGAAAUUAUCAACGAAGCCAAAAGUUGAUUCUUUGAAAAGAUUAAUGAAGUAGGCAAACCACUGGUGAGAUGAAUCAAGAAAAAUAGAGAAAAGACUCAAAUAAACAUUAGGAAUGGAAAAUAGGGCAAUGCUAAAGAGAAUUCAAAGAUCAGAAAAAUAUGGGAGUAUACUAAAAACGAUUUCAUGCCCAAGUGUUCAAAUCUAUAUUGCCUUUAAAAAUAUAUAAAAAAGGAGCCGGACACUGGCUCAUGCCUAUAAUCCCAGCACUUUGGAAGGCUGAGGUGGGUGAAUCACAAGGUCAAGAGAUCAAGACCAUCCUGGCUAACACAGGGAAAACCCGUCUCUACUAAAAAUACAAAAAAUUAGCUGGGCGUGGUGGCACACGCUUAUAGUCCCAGCUGCUCAGGAGGCUGAGGCAGGAGAAUUGCUUGAACCCAUGAGGCAGAGGUUGCAGCGAGCAGAGAUGGCCCCACUGGACUCCAGCCUUGGCGACAGAGAGAGACUCCAUCUCAAAAAAAAAAAAAAAAAUCAAAAAGGAAAAGAAGCACUGAAGAAAUCCAUAACCGUUGGAGAAGCUUGAAUCAGUAGUUGAUAAUGUCCCUCCAAGAAAAGACCAGAUAUCCCAGUUUCUGACCUGUAGCAUAGUCCCUCUCUCUGAAGAACUUCCUGUAAUAUUUUUUGCUAG
This 2074-nucleotide long non-coding RNA is filed under the name Homo sapiens (human). RNAcentral describes it as "non-protein coding LINC00476:19". Lineage: Eukaryota; Metazoa; Chordata; Mammalia; Primates; Hominidae. The record is from RNAcentral.